AUCGGCACUUCUGGCUCUGCGUCCCUGAGCGGCUGGAAAGAGGCUCCGUGGAAUGUGUAGGCGCCGCGGUAUCUGGUCAUACGGUAAUGCGGAGCCCGUGGUGGUUUAGACCGGCGGACUAAGAGCGGGGUUCGAAUCCCCCGCCGGGUGACGUUUGAACUGCCUCACAGGGUUGUUGUUGUGGUGUGAGGAUUCAAAUGGGAGAGGGGGCAAAAUUCUGGACUAAAUCGCAGGAACAUGUUCUGGUCUUCCCCCCACAAAAAACAAAAAAACACUCUGGUUUAUACGCGUGGAGUUCUGUUCUGUCGAUAUGUAUGUGAUAAAAAUCAUUUUUAAAGAAUUAAUAAAAGUACUUUUUUAUUUUGAAAAAACGGAGGUGGAGGGAGAAGCGUUGUUCGCUACCUUGAGCUGUUUGGCGAGGGGGGGGGGGAAAGGUGGGAUGUGAAUGGAAUGAUUUGUUUGUUCCGUACAAUGGAUAUAGCACUUUGUAUAAAAAAAACUCAAAACAGUUUACAAAAGAUAAAACGGUAAGAUCAAGAAAGGUUCGCAAGCCUACUUUAAAACCUACAAGUUUUUUUUAAAAAAAUGCUACAUCAGAUUAAAACGACCUUCCUAAGCAUCUGAGUAGGCUUGUCUAAGCAGGAAUGCUUUUAGCAAGCACUGAAAAAGAGUACACUGAAGCUGACUCCUUGAUCUCAAUAGGCAGGGAGUUCCAAAGUCUAGUCGCUGCCACACUAGAUGAUCAAGUUCUUGCAAAUGAGGGACAGGUAUUAUGCAGCGCCUGUAAUAGUGCCAGUUCCGCCAAUCGGCAUGGGGUAAGGCGAUCUCGUAGGGAUGAAAUAAUGAAAUACAAAUAAAUGCAGUGCAGUUCUGCAUCGUAUGUAUGUCUACUUGGAAGUGCUGCCAAGAUCUAGGAUUUCAUCCUUAGCCUAAUAAUAGAUCCCUGCCUAUUUAUGAACUAUGUGAGGCAGCACACAUCCAAUGCAUGAUUCCCUGUGUGAUCUCUUCACGUGAUCUCUUUGUUGAAUUAAACUCAAAGGGGGCACUUCUGAACAGGUAUGCAUAGCAUUGAAAUACACUAUCAGUUUUGCAGUUUGUAAAAAAAAAUGACAGUAUUUGAAGCUGGAGUGGCUUCAAUACUUUUUUACAAUUUAAUUUUUGUUACGUUUUGGGGUUUAUUUGAUUUUCCAGUUAGGUUUUGGGUUGAACAUGGCAGGAACCACAAGUAAAGGCUCUUGUUCCGGUCUGUCUUAAAGAAUGUGAUCAUGAAUGAUUUCCCUUACACGGGCUGCAUACACAACAUGUACAUGACUUCCCUCAAAGAAUCCUGAGAACUGUAGUUUGCGAAGGGUGCAGGUAAUUGUAGCUCUGUGAGGGUAAAAUAUGGUUGCCAGUAUUCCUCUGGGGGAAGCCAUGUGCUGUAAAUAUAUGGCGUGCAUGUGGCCAUGGUCCCAUUCUGCCCUAUUCAAAGCCAAAUGAAAAUGAAGGGGAAUUUUGACCAUGCUUCACAUACAAUUUCAUGUGAAACCAUUGUAAGGUAGUAGCGAAGUGCUGUACUGAGGAGACCCAGGUUCAAAUCUUCAUUCACUGGUCGAACAAUGGAUGGCCCUACUAUUAGGCAAAAUGAGGCAGCCACCACAGGUGGAUACUAUGGGGCAAAGAUAAGACAAAAGUUGUAUGAGCCAUGUGGUGCACGCUGUGUCUUUUAAGCUUGCCUGCUGCUCUUAGGUGCGAUGGAGGACUCUGCCUCUGGCCUCACCCACCAAAAGCACAUGGUCCCUGGAAUGUUGACUACUAGGAAAUGCAGCCAUUGGGCUUAGAUAUGCCCCACCCCCAAGUUUAUGGUGUGCUUUUCCCUGGUAUCAGUAGUGUACACAUUUUUAAUAACAACCAAGCAAAUGGACAAAUCACUGCUGAACUGCACCCACCAAUAUGUGGGCUGAGGUCUAGAUGAACAGAGGCUGUUUUAGGGUGGCGCAACUUCUGCAGUCACACUGGACGCUGCACUGCAGGGGGCACCAAAAGGAUGCUGUAGAAUGGAGUGUGAGAGGCAGGGGCUGCCAAAUUUUAGCGUCACAUAGGUGCUGAAUUUGAGCAUCUGCACAGCAAGGCACUGAAGACAGACCAAGAUAUUGCUACAUGCUACGACUUUCAGGCAUAGGGGUCAAAUGAAGCCUGGAUGGACAUGGAUAACAUCAAACAUGCCAAAUAUAGAAUUGACUUGAAGGGGAUUGUGGGGUAGAGACUGUACAAAUCCACCUUCUCAAACUGAAAAGACAAGUCCCCCCACAAAUAUCUGAUCCUAGGAAGAAAAGGUGUGUGUGUAUGAAGCAAGUAUAUUUCCAUUGGGUCUGCUAAUGAAAUCUUGUACACAGAGACACAAGCUCAACAUGUCCCCUCCCAAGUUCUGAAAAUGUUUUGUUAUACAAUGCUUUAGCUCUGUUGUGCACAAGUAAGUUAGUAGUACUUAGGAAUGUGGCCCCAGAAUCUAUGAAUAGAUUCUGGGGCAGGCAAGUGAGCUGAAGGAGGUGGAAAAGGGAAACCUAAGAAGCUAGUAACAGUAUAUUUUUAGUAAUGGAAUGCCAGAUUCUUGUUUGACACAAUAUCUACUUUUCUGCUUGUUUAAAAUAAUCUCUACCUGUUCCUUCAUUCUAUCAAUUCAUAUGUAAAGCAGAAUCACAAAGAAAGACAACCAUUUUUAUUAACAACAAUUUUGCCAGUAGCAGUAUUGAAUCAAGGUGGCAAAACUUUAUUUAAUGAGGUAGGUACAAACAGUAGACCUUCUAGUUGCCUUUGUCAUACCAGCAUUCUUUAGAAACAUUUCUAGAAUUAUUAUUAUUUUAAAAAAUCAAUGGCCAAGUUUCACCUAUUUCACAUUGUAGUAGAAUCUAGUGCAUUUCUAUUUUUUCCUCUAAGAUGCAACAUUUCUAAUUCCAAGCCAAUAAAAAAAGGGUGGGGGACCUGAGAAUUUGGAAGACUGGACAUUUCAUUCAGUACAUUUUACAGUAUAAAAAUCCACAAAAUGACCAGGUUGGAUCCAAACUUAAGUUCACCCAACUUAGGUCCCACUAAAAAGCAGUAAGACAAGUUUCAUUGGGUAGAUCCAAUGUCAGUCAUAUUCAGAACAGACCUACUAAAAUCAAUGGACUUAAACCAUUUGCCCAUUGAUUUCAAUGGUUCUACUCUGAGUAUACCUUAGCUGGAUAUCACCCAUUGAUUUCAAAGAGACCCAGGUUCAAACAAAUUGACCCAAGUUCAUACAACUUAAGUCUUGGGAUCCAACCCACUUCAACAAUCAUUCAUAAAGCUCCCUUCACCAACGGAUCUUAAGAGCAUUCAUAUAAAUAAGACAUGUCAUGUGUUUAAGGCACUUUUGAGGACUUCUAAACCCUGCUUUCAGGGUGUCAAAACUAUUUCUCCAAGAUCUUAGUCUUGUGAAUACUUCCACAUAAAAGUUUUAGUCAGUAGCACACAUUUACUGUUUGAGGAUCAAUGCCCUUGUUUUAAGAGUAGGAGUGCUACUCAGUUUAUGAAAACAUUUUAAAAAAUAUAAAUCCUGUUGUCCCUAAGUAAUUGUUAAGUUGAGUAACUGAAUAUAAAUCCUUUUACACUGCUUAAGAUAUAGGCAAUGCUGUUUUCCAGCAGAAAUCUGAAGCAUAAAUAUUUGGCAGAAAUGUGGUUUCAUAACACAGUGCAGAUUCCACAGAGUUCACAGAUGGUUCUAUGUAGUUUUUCCAGCAUCUUGUGACUAAGAUGAUGUCCACAUUUGUUUUUCAUCAUAACUCACAGUAAUAGUAAGUAAUAGUCUUUGAUAAUUCCUGAAAGGAAAAACAAACAAUGUAAAAAAAUAUAUUUUAAGUAUCAGCCUUUUUGAAAAUAUGGGGAAAUAUUUCCUACCAAGAAAAACGAUUAUGGAAUCAAUAAAAUAUGACCUGAAGAGUCUUCAAAGCAUCUUAAUUACCAGUAAGUCUGAUUACACUGUCAGACUCAGAUCAAUGUAUUGUACAUUUUUACCAUUCCAUGUAACUUAAGUAUUUCUUAUAAUACUAAUAGUGAUGCUAUUCUUAGAACAUCAGUAAGCCAACUCUUCCAUAUCUCAAAUCUUUCAGUGUGUGUAUCCAAUCCCAUUCAACCUGAUCACUUUCUUUUAGACUAGCGCUUAUCUAACAGUGAGAACUGUUCUUUGAUUAAAAAGCUACUAUUCUUAGAGGACUACUUUUCACAGAACUCAUUAGGUCAAUAGUUUCAGCUCAUUAGUAUAAGAAAAUCAAAUUAUAAGAUGAAAGUCAGUUUGUGUUCUGUAUUGUACUUGCGUAUUUAGAGUGGUACAGAUGUAAUUAACUCUGGUUGUAGAAGUGGGAAAGUAUGCAAUCACCCACUCCUUCCCUCUCUUCCUCUAUCUUGUGUGAAUUCCCUUAUACCCUGAUGUUCUGCAUUAGACCAUUGCCAAUGCUGACUAAAGCUGCUUCUGAUCUUCAUAAUGCAAUUCU
Molecule: long non-coding RNA, 4490 nt
Filed under: Podarcis lilfordi (Lilford's wall lizard)
Lineage: Eukaryota; Metazoa; Chordata; Lepidosauria; Squamata; Lacertidae
Source: RNAcentral